This 254-nucleotide ribosomal RNA is filed under the name uncultured bacterium. Its description in RNAcentral is "partial 16S ribosomal RNA". It matches the Rfam family "Bacterial small subunit ribosomal RNA", at positions 524 to 776 of the family's 1533-position model. The record is from RNAcentral.
UACGUAGGGUCCAAGCGUUAUCCGGAAUUACUGGGCGUAAAGAGUUGCGUAGGUGGCUUGUUAAGCGAAUAGUGAAAUGAUACGGCUCAACCGUAUGUCCAUUAUUUGAACUGGUAAGCUAGAGAAUGAGAGAGGUUAUUGGAAUUCCCUGUGUAGGAGUGAAAUCCGUAGAUAUAGGGAGGAACACCGAUGGCGUAGGCAGAUAACUGGCUCAUUUCUGACACUAAGGCACGAAAGCGUGGGGAGCAAACGGG